AAUACUCUGGAGAGUCUUUUAUACGGAAAACCCGUACAGAAAGCGCCGAAGGUGUACGGCAGGAAACUGCCAAUCUCUCAGGCAAAAGGACAGAGCAUGAA
Molecule: non-coding RNA, 101 nt
Filed under: uncultured Acetatifactor sp.
Lineage: Bacteria; Bacillati; Bacillota; Clostridia; Lachnospirales; Lachnospiraceae
Description: Glycine riboswitch
Rfam family: Glycine riboswitch aptamer
About the family: This family represents the bacterial glycine riboswitch.
Source: RNAcentral